Molecule: ribosomal RNA, 253 nt
Filed under: uncultured bacterium
Lineage: Bacteria
Description: partial 16S ribosomal RNA
Rfam family: Bacterial small subunit ribosomal RNA
Source: RNAcentral
UCCGGGGGGGGUAAGCGUUGUUCGGAAUUACUGGGCGUAAAGGGCUCGUAGGCGGCCAACUAAGUCGGACGUGAAAUCCCUCAGCUUAACUGGGGAACUGCGUCCGAUACUGGAUGGCUUGGAUUUGGGAGAGGGAUGCGGAAUUCCAGGUGUAGCGGUGAGAUGCGUAGAUAUCUGGAGGAACACCGGUGGCGAAGGCGGCAUCCUGGACCAAUAUUGACGCUGAGGAGCGAAAGCUAGGGGAGCAAACGGG